RNAcentral lists this ribosomal RNA (2300 nucleotides) under Serratia symbiotica. RNAcentral's name for it is "23S ribosomal RNA". It matches the Rfam family "Bacterial large subunit ribosomal RNA". The record is from RNAcentral. Lineage: Bacteria; Pseudomonadati; Pseudomonadota; Gammaproteobacteria; Enterobacterales; Yersiniaceae.
GUUAAGUGACCAAGCAUACACGGUAGAUGCCUAGGCAGUCAGAAACAAUGAAGGGUGUGCUAAUCUGCGAAAAGCGCCGGUAAGGCGAUAUAAACCGUUAUAGACAGCGACACCCAAAUGGGGAAAGCCAGUGUGAUACGUCACACUACCGUUAAGUGAAUACAUAGCUUGACGAGGCAAGCCGGGGGAACUAAAACAUCUAAGUACUCCAAGAAAAAGAAAUCAAACGAGACCCCCAGUAGCGGCGAGCGAACGGGGGCCAGCCCAGAACCUGAAUCAGCGGGUGUGCUAGUGGAAGCGUCUGGAAAGUCGCGCAGUAAAGGGUGAUAGCCCGGUACAUAAAAAUGCACUGGCUUCGAGUUAGACGAGCAGGGCGAGACACGUAAUAUCCUGUCUAAAUACGGGGAGACCAUCCUGCAAGGCUAAAUACUCCCGACCGACCGAUAGUAAGCCAGUACCGCGAGGGAAAGGCAAAAAAAAACCCGGCGAGAGGAGUGAAAAAGAACCUAAAACCGUGUACGUACAAGCAGUAAGAGCACCGUUAAGGUGUGACUGCGUACCUUUUGUAUAACAGGUCAGCGAGUUAUUAUUUUGUAGCAAGGUUAACGGCAAAGUAACGAUAAAACGGGUGAAAAACCGGCUCGCCGGAAGACCAAGGGUUCCUGUCCAACGUUAAUCGGGGCAGAGUGAGUCGACCCCUAAGGUAAGGCUAAAAAGCGUAGUCGAUGUGCAAAAGGUUAAUAUUCCCGUACUGGGUGUGACUCCGAAGGGGGGACGAAGAAAACCAGGCAUGUCAAGCGACGGUCAUCCCGGUUUAAGCGUGUAGGGGGGAGUUUUGGGUAAAUCCGGAACGCCAUACAUAAACCCUGAGGCGUGAUGACGAUGCACCAAGGUGCAGAAGCUGUUGAUGCCCUGCCUCCAGGAAAAGCCUCUAAGCAUUAGGCCACCUUUUAUCGUACCCCAAAAUCGUACCCCAAACCGACACAGGUAAUCAGGUAGAGAAUACCGAGGCGCCCAAGAGAACUCUAGUGAAGAAACUAGGCAAAAUGGUGCCGUAACUUCGGGAAAAAGCACGCUAGCAUGUAGGUGAAUUCCGUAUUGGAGAGAGCUUAAGCCAGUCGCAGAGACAAGCCGGCUGAAACUGUUUAAUAAAAACACAGCACUGUGCCAACACAAAAGUGGACGCAUGCAGUGCGCCGCCUGCCCGGUGCAGGAAGGUUAAUUGAUGGGGUUAGCUACAAGGCGAAGCUCCUGAUCAAAGCCCCAGUAAACGGCAGCCGUAACUAUAACGGUCCUAAGGUAGCAAAAUUCCUUGUCGGGCAGGUUCCGACCUGCACAAAUGGCGUAAUGAUGGCCAGGCUGCCUCCACCCGAGAGUCAGUAAAAUUGAACUCGCUGCGAAGAUACAGUGUACCCGCGGCAAGACAGAAAGACUCCGUGAGCCUCUACUAUAGCUUGACACUGAACAUGGAGCCUUGAUGUGUAGGAUAGGUGGGAGGCAGUAAAUCGUAGACGCCAGUCUGCGAGGAGCCACGCUUGAAAUACCACCCUUUAAUGUUUGAUGUUCUAACUUUGACCCGUGACCCGGGGCGAGGACAGUGUCUGGCGUGCAGCCUGACUGGGGCGGUCUUCCCCCAAAGAGUAAAGAGUAACGGAGGAGCACAAAGGUCAGCUAAUCACGGUCGGCCAUCGUGAGUUUAGUGCAAGGGCAUAAGCUAGCCUGACUGCGAGAGUGACGGCUCGAGCAGGUACGAAAGUAGGUCUUAGUGAUCCGGUGGCUCUGAAUGAAAGAGCCAUCGCUCAACGGAUAAAAGAUACUCCGGGGAUAACAGGCUGAUACCGCCCAGGAGUUCAUAUCGACGGCGGUGCUUAGCACCUCGAUGUCGGCUCAUCACAUCCCGGGGCUAAAGUAGGUCCCAAGAGUAUGGCCGUUCGCCAUUUAAAGUAGUACGCGAGCUGGGUUUAGAACGUCGUGAGACAGUUCGGUCCCUAUCUGCCGCGGGCGUAAGAAGAUUAAUAAGAGGGAUUGCUCCUAGUACGAGAAGACCGGAGUAAACGCACGGCUGGUGUUCGGGCUGCCACGCCAAUGGCAUUGCCCGGCAGCUAAGUGUGGAACAGAUAAGCGCUGAAAGCAUCUAAGCGCGAAACUGGCCUCGAGAUGAGUCUUCUCUGGGUCUGAAAAGUCCCUGAAGGUACGUUUAAGACAAAGACGUGAACAGGCUGGGUGUGUAAGAGCAGCGAUGCUCUGAGCUAACCAGUACUAAUGAGCCGCGAGGCUUAACCUUACAACACCGAAGGUGU